UGGAAAGCGUAUAUCUGACGCACAUGAUCAGUGUGUUCAGUGAGUGUGGAGUGCGUGAGACUUGCAUUUGACCAGUUUCCUGCGCUAUGAGUACGGGCCGCACUUAUAAAGCAUGUGUGACGCAUGUGAUUAGCACAUUACAAUCACUCAUAACUUGCGUGUGAUGCAAGCCAGGAGUGGGUAUAAAACCAGCGUGCCUGCAGCAUUCUGCAUCUGUCUUUCGGCUGAAGAACAUUGGAUAUUUUGUGGGAAAAAUUUAAAAAUUUUCAGUUUAAAGUUUAGAAAAUGGGACCCAAGAAGAAGUGAGCAAAAGUGAAGUAACCCAGCCUGAAACAGCAGAGGGGGAGGAGGAGGAAGAAUUUGAUGACGAUGGUAGCAGCACCGGCGAGCCCUGCACAGACAGGGAGAAAUAUGCCUUCAAGCCGGCAGAAGGCACAGCACUCCGCCAGAGGUAUUUUCACCGCUAACAGCGCCCAGAAGUGAGGACACUGCAAUCCCAUCAUCGCUGUCAGGCCAUUGUGCCAUGCUCAGUGAUAAGGACAAGGACAUCCCGACACCCCGUCCCACCACUCAGCAGGAGUAGGAGCAGGACAGCAGCUCGGAGUCAAAGUGUGUUUCAGUGCUCAAACUGUUGGGCUAUUUAGUUGGGAUUUUUUACAGCGUAAUAAAAUACGUUAUUCCCUUA
Molecule: long non-coding RNA, 685 nt
Organism: Neoarius graeffei (lesser salmon catfish)
Lineage: Eukaryota; Metazoa; Chordata; Actinopteri; Siluriformes; Ariidae
Exons: 2
Source: RefSeq, a predicted model, not a curated record